Molecule: ribosomal RNA, 441 nt
Filed under: uncultured bacterium
Lineage: Bacteria
Description: bacterial SSU rRNA
Rfam family: Bacterial small subunit ribosomal RNA
Source: RNAcentral
UACGGGAGGCAGCAGUGGGGAAGUAAUUGCACAAUGGGCGCAAGCCUGAUGCAGCCAUGCCGCGUGUAUGAAGAAGGCCUUCGGGUUGUAAAGUACUUUCAGUCGUGAGGAAGGUGUUAAGGUUAAUAACCUUAGCAAUUGACGUUAGCGACAGAAGAAGCACCGGCUAACUCCGUGCCAGCAGCCGCGGUAAUACGGAGGGUGCGAGCGUUAAUCGGAAUUACUGGGCGUAAAGGGCACGCAGGCGGUUAAUUAAGUUGGAUGUGAAAUCCCCGGGCUUAACCUGGGAAUGGCAUUCAAGACUGGUUAGCUAGAGUCUUGUAGAGGGGGUAGAAUUCCAUGUGUAGCGGUGAAAUGCGUAGAGAUGUGGAGGAAUACCGGUGGCGAAGGCGGCCCCUGGACAAAGACUGACGCUCAUGUGCGAAAGCGUGGGGAGCAAAC